CCCUGGGAGGAGCCCCACCCUGGCCCGCCUUUGUUCACAGUCCGCGCGUCCCGCACAGUUGCCGCCCAUGCUCGCACACUGCUCUUGGCGGUCGUGCCCCGGAAUAGCGGGGUCUUGGCGCGCCAUCUGCACCCCAGCCGAGCGACGCCCGCAGGCUCGCCCCGCUGCACCGUUGUUUGCACGAGGGGCUUUCCGUUCAGAAGGACGCGUGCUCCGGGCAGGGAGCGUGCGCUCUGCAGUCAGCUCCCUGCGGCCCCGACACGCAGGGACCGUGAUCCGGGUCCCUCUGUGCAGGCGGCGUGGAGGUGAUCAGUCGGGCCUCAGGAAAAGGGAGGACAUCACCAGCUUUAGAGGAAACAGGAGUGGGAUUCCAUUUCCUCCUCUCUGCACCUGUCCAAAUGUCCAGAUCCGUGUGGUCUCCUGGGGCCUCUGCAGCUGUGUGGACCCCAUCCCUUCUCCGCAGAGCUGAGGUAGGAGAGGCCCUUCUGGCUGGGGCUCACUCGUGUGCUGUUAAGUCUGCCCUCCACCUGGCCUGGUCCUGAAUGGCCACCAGAAGCUGCUACUUCUUGAUGUCAUUCCAGUAACUGUGGUUGCUCUGUCUGCACCCAGACUAGGGAGGCGGGGGAGGGAAGCAGGAGCUUCAGCCAGAGUUAGUGAGGGCUGAGGAGGAGUUCCCAGCAGUCAGGAGAGCUUGUAUUUCUUUUUAAGAAUAAGUUUUAGCUCAAAAAUGCUACUUCUAUCAAUCUUUUGCCAGAGAACACCUGUAGGGUGUGGACGUGUGGGCACCCGGGAGAGAGGACAGCAAGGAGCUCGGGCCCGCGUGUGUGUGUGUGUGUGUGUGUAUGUGUGUGUGUGUGUGUGUGCGUGUCCAGCGGGUCCGCCCGGCUCUGCUGCUCUUUGAGUCUAAACUUGUUCUCCCUGACUAGGCCACAGCAUCCUGGGGUGGGGGCUGUGUCUGCCCCCCGGCGCCUCCUGCAUCCCACCCCACACCCCACCUGUAGAAUGAAUGAUUCAGCAAAUGAAUAAGUAAAUAAGUAAUGUUUUCUUGCAGACCUUGCACUUUGCAGAAAAGAGUUGAGGGGGAGUUUUAAUUCCCCUGUGCCCUCUCCUUCCACCUAUAAAUCCCCACGUUGGCCAUCUGGGGCUGGGUCACACACGGGCUGGCUGUUAUUCCCUCCACUCUUCCCAUAGCAUCUCACUGGUCCAGUGGUCCCACCAAGAGACAUGAAGACUAUUGCAAUCUCUAUGUAAAGAGGGAGAGAUGCCUCAGGAAUCACAGCUACCUUCCAAGGAGAACAACAGCCAUCAAAAGGAACCCUAAGGUCUCUGCUAAUCUCUGUUGCCCUUUGGAGGAGAACCUUGAUGGGUGUGGACGUGCAGUGGUGGUGAGUUGGAAGCUGAAGCCGAGCAGGGGCUGGGAAGAGUGACAGCACUCUCUAAAGAAGUAUGAGGUGCUUGUGGUGAAAUGGCUCCAUGAAGUCGUCUGGUGACAAGAGGAGCUUCAGAUCAAAGGUGACCAGGAGAAUACAUGCCUCUUGAGGACUUGUAGAAAUCGGGGGGAGGCACGGGGCUUUCUAAAAUUCCACCCGACCUGCACCUAGGGAUACCUGGGACACGACAACGAAGCAGGUGCUGGCGGGGCUGCCAUUGCUGCCCCACCCCAGCCUCGAGUGUGGGCACAUCACAGCACUGGCACUGUCGGCAGAGGGAACUUUUACAUCUUCCCUGUGCUGCUCCCCCACGCCAGUCCUGUGUGUACUUGGGGAUGGGGACAGCAAUUGUUGUUCCCAUUUUACAGAUGGAAAAACCAUGGCCCACAGAGGGGACAUAAUUGCCCAUACCUAGCAAGUAGUGUCAUCAGGACUGUAGCUCAGGGUUCUGAGAGCCCACCGGCCACCCACUCACAGCGGGAGCACCCUGCAGGGGCGCUGAAGGAGCUCCAAACUGGCUUCCUAACCCACGGCAUCAUCCACUGACGAUCCUCUUGGAAAAUGUUACAUUCCAGCCCUACUUAUAUCCUUCAUAAAAAUACAUUUUGGGUGGAUUAAUUCCUACAUGCGAAAUCCACAAUUGCCUUUAUUUAAGUCUUUGAGUAAAAAAUAGGAGGAUAAGUUUAUAAAUCUAUGUUAAAAUAUUCUUAAGACACAAAAAAGCAAUAAAUGAAAAUAGCAAUAAAUUUGGCUUCACCAAAACUAAAUUUUCCAUAUGACAAAAGUUAGCACAAACAAGUUUGAAAGACUUUCUACCAACGGGAGAAACGUUUGCUAUGUGAUAUGCAUAGCAGAAAAAUUGGCCAGGAAAUAUAAACAAGUCCCGCCGAUGGCUAGAAGACCACAUGUGAGACACAGGCCAAGGGGCUGAGACGGAGGUGGGCGGGUGUGUGAGCUGUCCACGCCUCGGCCAAGGGGGCCUGAGCCAGGCCUGGGACAACGCCUCGCAUCCGUCAAGCCGGCAGAUGUUUUGAGUUUGAUAGCAGCCAGGUAGAGUGAGGGAGCAGGGAGCAGGUGAGCUCUGCACCGCAGAGGUGUGUAAAAGGCAGACACCCUGGGGCCGCAAGGCAGCGCUUACUGCUGUGUGGUGUGCACACCCAGGAGCCAGCACUUUGUUCCUCAGGGUCCACCUGCAGGCUCCCCCAGGUCACAGGCCUGCAGCUCUGGCUGUCACCCUGAAAGCCAAAAGGUCUGGAAGCAAUCUAAAAUACCAUCUGUAGGAAAAUGGCAAAAAGAAACUAUGCUGUGCAUGUGCCUGUGUUGUGUGUGCACACGUGCGUGUGCGUGCGUGUGUGUGCGUGAGCGUGGGCACUCCCAUGCAUCGCAGCAUGCUGCUGCAACCAAGGUGGGCAUGGGUGAUCUGCAAGUCUGGUGAAAAUGUUCCUUGCACACAAGACAAGGAAAUAAAGUAUAAAGACAAAAACUCCUCCCCAGCCUUCAAACUCUCCCUGGCAUGGCCCUGCCUUAGCUUCCUGCCCUGGCGUCAGCCCACCGCCCUGGCCCUCUGUCCUCUCGCCCCCAGACCUCAGGACUGGCAGGGGCCUUCACUCCACUCCUCCCUCCCCACCACCUGAGCCGGCCUUGAGGCUGUGUCCCAGGGCAGCCCUCACCCUCAGGGGCAGCUGUGGUCCUCCCUGCGACGUGGCAGGUGACCACACACAGCACGUACAGCUGCUACCCACUCCUGCUCUCUGACCCAGCACCUGGCAGGUGGCGAGCCCGCAUGGACAUCAGCUGACGACGCAGGGGUGAUGCGCAGGAUUCAGUGGUCAUGUCUGUGGGUGCAAACGUGCAGACGCAGGCACACAGAAUUGUGCCUCCUCUGGGGUUGUAGAUGGUGGCAAAGAGGGAUUUGACUUAAUAAAAAGGUCUAUGUUCUUAACCAAAAAUGUAGCCAUGUAU
Molecule: non-coding RNA, 3392 nt
Organism: Microcebus murinus (gray mouse lemur)
Lineage: Eukaryota; Metazoa; Chordata; Mammalia; Primates; Cheirogaleidae
Source: RefSeq, a predicted model, not a curated record